CCUACGGGCGGCAGCAGUGGGGAAUUUUCCGCAAUGGGCGAAAGCCUGACGGAGCAAUACCGCGUGAGGGAGGAAGGCUCUUGGGUUGUAAACCUCUUUUCUCAGGGAAUAAUAAUGAAGGUACCGGAGGAAUCAGCAUCGGCUAACUCCGUGCCAGCAGCCGCGGUAAUACGGAGGAUGCAAGCGUUAUCCGGAAUGAUUGGGCGUAAAGCGUCCGCAGGGGGCUAUGUAAGUCUGCUGUUAAAGAGUGAGGCUCAACCUCAUAAGAGCAGUGGAAACUACAUAGCUAGAGUGCGUUCGGGGCAGGGGGAAUUCCUGGUGUAGCGGUGAAAUGCGUAGAGAUCAGGAAGAACACCGGUGGCGAAAGCGCUCUGCUAGGCCGCAACUGACACUGAGGGACGAAAGCUAGGGGAGCGAAUGGGAUUAGAUACCCCUGUAGUC
RNAcentral lists this ribosomal RNA (441 nucleotides) under Cyanobacteriota bacterium 1242_2PII. Its description in RNAcentral is "bacterial SSU rRNA". It matches the Rfam family "Bacterial small subunit ribosomal RNA", at positions 338 to 795 of the family's 1533-position model. The record is from RNAcentral. Lineage: Bacteria; Bacillati; Cyanobacteriota.